This 286-nucleotide long non-coding RNA is filed under the name Lathyrus oleraceus (garden pea). RNAcentral's name for it is "Pisum sativum (pea) long non-coding RNA (PSAT_LNC000567)". Lineage: Eukaryota; Viridiplantae; Streptophyta; Magnoliopsida; Fabales; Fabaceae. The record is from RNAcentral.
GGAAUUAUAAACCUUAUGUAAAAUGUUCAUGGUGGUUGGGAAGUAUUCCAGUUGGGUGAGCAUCCCUCAUAUGAUUGUGUAUAUCACUAAUAGUUCUCACUCUUCUUCAUUUUCUAACUCCUUUUCUUCUUUGAAUAUAUUGGUAUCUUUAAACUUUUUAUCCCUAGUCGUUGCUUUAUCUCCAGGUGCAAACCUUCUUGGAUGCAUUCUUCACUAUUGUGUUUGUUCCUUCUAUGGAAACAUAAGCACCUUUACUUAUCCACCCUUGUGAAAUCUUGGAUCUUCU